This 683-nucleotide ribosomal RNA is filed under the name uncultured bacterium. RNAcentral describes it as "bacterial SSU rRNA". It matches the Rfam family "Bacterial small subunit ribosomal RNA", at positions 8 to 699 of the family's 1533-position model. The record is from RNAcentral.
AGAGUUUGAUCCUGGCUGAGGACGAACGCUGGCGGUGCGCCUUAUGCAUGCAAGUUGAGCGAAGCUUUUUGGUAGUUUACUACUAGAAAUGACUGAGCGGCGAACGGGUGAGUAACGCGUGAGCAAUCUACCUUAGUUACUGGGAUAGCCCGAGGAAACUCGGAUUAAUACCGGAUAUUCUUAUUUUUUCACAUGAAGUUUUAAGGAAAGGUCAGCCGAACUAAGAUGAGCUCGCGUUCUAUCAGCUAGUUGGUGGGGUAAAAGCCUACCAAGGCUACGACGGAUAGCUGGUCUGAGAGGACGAUCAGCCACACUGGGACUGAGACACGGCCCAGACUCCUACGGGAGGCUGCAGCAGGGAAUAUUGUGCAAUGAGCGAAAGCUUGACACAGCGACACCGCGUGUGGGAUGACGGUUCUAGGAUUGUAAACCACUUUCAGGAGGGAAGAAAAUGACGGUACCUCCACAAGAAGACCCGGCCAACUAUGUGCCAGCAGCCGCGGUAAUACGUAGGGGGCGAGCGUUGUCCGGAUUUAUUGGGCGUAAAGAGCUCGUAGGCGGUUCAACAAGUCGGUAGUAAAAGUUCAGGGCUCAACCCUGAAAUGUCUAUCGAUACUGUUGUGACUAGGAUACGGCAGAGGUGAGUGGAAUUCCGAGUGUAGCGGUGAAAUGCGUAGAUAUUC